ACGACGUGGCCCAGCUCUGAGCUGUCAGUUACUCCACAGGGCCAGCGCGAUUUUGGUGCCACAGUUGGGAGUGAGGCUUUUGUUCCACAACAAAAACAAGAGCCUGAAUGGCAGGGCUUCCAGCGUCUGGCCCGUCCAGUCAGGCGUAAAGGAACCUGCAUCUCAGAUGUGGGUGACCUGUCAUUAGUCAGCUCCCUCUGCUUCUAAACGACCAAGCGACCACGUGGAGACAACUGGCAAAUUAAGGCUCAUGUGUCGAAGAAGGUUUGGUUCCUAGCUGAUGAUGCUAUUAGGACGUGGUGGGAACUUCAGGAGGCCUUGCCUGAGCAGGAACCUGGAAGCCUUAAUAACUAUGGCAUUGCUCAUCAGUGACAAGAAAUAUUUUUAAGGUGAUAAAAAUGCUUUGGAACUUGACAGAGGUGGUGAUUGUACAACAUGGAGAAUAUGUUGAAUGCCACAGAAUCAUCCACUUUGAAUAAACGAUAUUAUGUUCUGCGAAUUUCACCUCAAUAAGAAUUUUGAAGAAAGGAGUGAAAUGCUGUUAUAAUCUACAACAUGAAUGAACCUUGAAAACAUGUUAUAGGAAAGAAACCAGAGAUAAUGGUCACAUUCUACAUGAGACCAUUCACAUGAAAUGUCCAGAACAGGCAAAUCCACAAAGGUGGAGGUGUUGUGGCUGACAGCUGACAGGGACAGGUUUUCUUCGGGGUGAUGAUGGGAACGUUUUGUAAUUAUACAGUAGUGAGGCUGCAUGGCAUGGUAAAUAUACUUAAAAACCCACUGGACUUUCACCUUGAAGUGGUAAAGUUUGUUAUAUUAACUUUCAUGUGACAAAAAAAAGAAAAGAAAAGAAAAACGAUACAAAGAAGAUGUAGGACAAGAUUUUGUAGAAGUGUGUUAGACAGUUAAUUAAUAACAGUUAACAAGGUAAUAAGGGAAAAGAAAAAAUCUGAGAAAAUGAAAAAUUGGAAAUAAAGUGUUUGUA
Long non-coding RNA from Fukomys damarensis (Damara mole-rat), 985 nucleotides. RefSeq lists it as uncharacterized. Lineage: Eukaryota; Metazoa; Chordata; Mammalia; Rodentia; Bathyergidae. The record is from RefSeq and is a predicted model, not a curated record. The transcript has 4 exons.